This 448-nucleotide ribosomal RNA is filed under the name uncultured bacterium. RNAcentral describes it as "bacterial SSU rRNA". It matches the Rfam family "Bacterial small subunit ribosomal RNA", at positions 330 to 797 of the family's 1533-position model. The record is from RNAcentral.
UCCAGACUCCUACGGGAGGCAGCAGUGGGGGAUAUUGCACAAUGGGGGGAACCCUGAUGCAGCGACGCCGCGUGGGUGAAGGAGCGUUUCGGUGCGUAAAGCCCUAUCGGCAGGGAAGAAGGAGGACGGUACCUGACUAAGAAGCCCCGGCUAACUACGUGCCAGCAGCCGCGGUAAUACGUAGGGGGCAAGCGUUAUCCGGAUUUACUGGGUGUAAAGGGGGCGCAGACGGCAGCGCAAGCCAGGAGUGAAAGCCCGGGGCCCAACCCCGGGACUGCUCUUGGAACUGCGCGGCUGGAGUGCAGGAGGGGCAGGCGGAAUUCCUGGUGUAGCGGUGAAAUGCGUAGAUAUCAGGAGGAACACCGGUGGCGAAGGCGGCCUGCUGGACUGCGACUGACGUUGAGGCCCGAAAGCGUGGGGAGCAAACAGGAUUAGAUGCCCCAGUACA